RNAcentral lists this ribosomal RNA (510 nucleotides) under bacterium enrichment culture clone ALO1_GLFRUDD03FL9M2. Its description in RNAcentral is "bacterial SSU rRNA". It matches the Rfam family "Bacterial small subunit ribosomal RNA", at positions 9 to 518 of the family's 1533-position model. The record is from RNAcentral.
GAGUUUGAUCGUGGCUCAGAUUGAACGCUGGCGGCAGGCCUAACACAUGCAAGUCGAGCGGAUGACGGGAGCUUGCUCCUUGAUUCAGCGGCGGACGGGUGAGUAAUGCCUAGGAAUCUGCCUGGUAGUGGGGGACAACGUUUCGAAAGGAACGCUAAUACCGCAUACGUCCUACGGGAGAAAGUAGGGGACCUUCGGGCCUUGCGCUAUCAGAUGAGCCUAGGUCGGAUUAGCUAGUUGGUGGGGUAAUGGCUCACCAAGGCGACGAUCCGUAACUGGUCUGAGAGGAUGAUCAGUCACACUGGAACUGAGACACGGUCCAGACUCCUACGGGAGGCAGCAGUGGGAAUAUUGGACAAUGGGCGAAAGCCUGAUCCAGCCAUGCCGCGUGUGUGAAGAAGGUCUUCGGAUUGUAAAGCACUUUAAGUUGGAGGAAGGCAGUAAGUUAAUACCUUGCUGUUUUGACGUUACCGACAGAAUAAGCACCGGCUAACUCUGUGCCAGCCGCGC